RNAcentral lists this ribosomal RNA (350 nucleotides) under uncultured bacterium. RNAcentral describes it as "bacterial SSU rRNA". It matches the Rfam family "Bacterial small subunit ribosomal RNA", at positions 28 to 409 of the family's 1533-position model. The record is from RNAcentral.
GAUGAACGCUGGCGGCGUGCUUAACACAUGCAAGUCGAACGAACCUUCGGGUUAGUGGCGGACGGGUGAGUAACGCGUGGGAAUCUGCCCUCAGGAGGGGGAUAACGGUUGGAAACGGCCGCUAAUACCCCAUAUGCAGAGAGGUGAAAUGAAUUUCGCCUGAGGAUGAGCCCGCGUCUGAUUAGCUAGUUGGUGAGGUAAGAGCUCACCAAGGCAUCGAUCAGUAGCUGGUCUGAGAGGAUGAUCAGCCACACUGGGACUGAGACACGGCCCAGACUCCUACGGGAGGCAGCAGUGGGGAAUUUUCCGCAAUGGGCGAAAGCCUGACGGAGCAACGCCGCGUGAGGGAU